GAGUUUGAUCCUGGCUCAGGACGAACGCUGGCGGCGUGCCUAACACAUGCAAGUCGAACGGGGAUAUUGAUUUCGGUUGAUAUCCCAGUGGCGAACGGGUGAGUAACGCGUGAGCAACCUGACCUUUUGAGGGGGAUAACACCUGGAAACAAGUGCUAAUACCGCAUAAGACCACGGAGCGGCAUCGUUCAGGGGUCAAAGGAGGAAUCCGCAGAAGGAGGGGCUCGCGUCCCAUUAGAUAGUAGGCGGGGUAACGGCCCACCUAGUCGACGAUGGGUAGCCGAGCUGAGAGGCUGAUCGGCCACACUGGAACUGAGACACGGUCCAGACUCCUACGGGAGGCAGCAGUGGGGAAUAUUGGGCAAUGGGCGCAAGCCUGACCCAGCAACGCCGCGUGAGGGAAGAAGGCUUUCGGGUUGUAAACCUCUGUCCUUGGUGACGAAGGAAGUGACGGUAGCCAAGGAGGAAGCCCCGGCUAACUACGUGCCAGCCGCCGCGGUAAUAC
This 505-nucleotide ribosomal RNA is filed under the name uncultured bacterium. Its description in RNAcentral is "bacterial SSU rRNA". It matches the Rfam family "Bacterial small subunit ribosomal RNA", at positions 9 to 526 of the family's 1533-position model. The record is from RNAcentral.